Molecule: ribosomal RNA, 466 nt
Filed under: uncultured bacterium
Lineage: Bacteria
Description: bacterial SSU rRNA
Rfam family: Bacterial small subunit ribosomal RNA
Source: RNAcentral
GGUUAACGCUGGCGGCGUGCCUAACACAUGCAAGUCGAACGGUUCUAAGCGCGAGCUUAGGAUAGUGGCGAACGGGUGAGUAAAAGGUAGGAAUCUACCCCUUGGACGGAGAUAGCUACUGGAAACGGUAGGUAAACUUCGAUAAGGCCCGAGAGGGGAAAGUGGUGAGACAGCCGAGGGAUGAGCCUACUCUCCAUCAGGUAGUUGGUGAGAUAAAAGCUUACCAAGCCGAUGACGGAUAACCGGUGUCGAGAGCAUGAACGGUCACAAGGGCACUGAGAGACGGGCCCUACUCCUACGGGAGGCAGCAGUGGGGAAUCUUGGACAAUGGGCGAAAGCCUGAUCCAGCGACGCCGCGUGGAGGAAGAAGUCCUUCGGGAUGUAAACUUCUGAACUAGCCGAAUAAAAGGCCUGUGGACACACAGGAGAAGAAAGUAGGCUAGGAAAAGUCCCGGCUAACUACGUG